Molecule: ribosomal RNA, 301 nt
Filed under: uncultured bacterium
Lineage: Bacteria
Description: partial 16S ribosomal RNA
Rfam family: Bacterial small subunit ribosomal RNA
Source: RNAcentral
CAGCCGCCGCGGGAAUACGGAGGGGGCUAGCGUUGUUCGGAAUUACUGGGCGUAAAGCGCGCGUAGGCGGCUUGGUAAGUUAGAGGUGAAAGCCUGGGGCUCAACCCCAGAAUUGCCUUUAAGACUGCCGAGCUAGUAGGUGAGAGAGGUAAGUGGAAUUCCGAGUGUAGAGGUGAAAUUCGUAGAUAUUCGCAAGAACACCAGUGGCGAAGGCGGCUCACUGGCCCGGAACUGACGCUGAGACGCGAAAGCGUGGGGAGCAAACAGGAUUAGAUACCCCAGUAGUCCCUGUCUCUUAUAC